UACGUAGGGUGCAAACGUUGCUCGGAAUCAUUGGGCGUAAAGCGCACGUAGGCGGCUCCGUAAGUCGGAUGUGAAAUCCCUCGGCUCAACCGAGGACGUGCAUCCGAAACUGUGGAGCUCGAGUAUGGAAGAGGGUCGCGGAAUUCCCGGUGUAGAGGUGAAAUUCGUAGAUAUCGGGAGGAACACCAGUGGCGAAGGCGGCGACCUGGGCCAAUACUGACGCUGAGGUGCGAAAGCGUGGGGAGCAAACAGG
Molecule: ribosomal RNA, 253 nt
Filed under: uncultured bacterium
Lineage: Bacteria
Description: partial 16S ribosomal RNA
Rfam family: Bacterial small subunit ribosomal RNA
Source: RNAcentral